GCUGGCAUGGUGGAAUUGGCAGACACGACGGUCUCAAAAACCGUUCUAGUUAAGUGGGUGCGAGUUCGAAUCUCGCUGUCAGCACCA
Molecule: transfer RNA, 87 nt
Filed under: Myoviridae sp. ctqfO1
Lineage: Duplodnaviria; Heunggongvirae; Uroviricota; Caudoviricetes
Description: tRNA-Leu
Rfam family: tRNA
About the family: Transfer RNA (tRNA) molecules are approximately 80 nucleotides in length.
Source: RNAcentral